Molecule: ribosomal RNA, 254 nt
Filed under: uncultured bacterium
Lineage: Bacteria
Description: partial 16S ribosomal RNA
Rfam family: Bacterial small subunit ribosomal RNA
Source: RNAcentral
UACAGAGGGGGCAAGCGUUGUUCGGAUUUACUGGGCGUAAAGGGCGCGUAGGCGGCCACCGCAAGUCGACUGUGAAAUCUCCGGGCUUAACCCGGAAAGGUCAGCCGAUACUGCGGGGCUAGAGUGCAGAAGGGGCAACUGGAAUUCUCGGUGUAGCGGUGAAAUGCGUAGAUAUCGAGAGGAACACCUGCGGCGAAGGCGGGUUGCUGGGCUGACACUGACGCUGAUGCGCGAAAGCUAGGGGAGCGAACGGG